This is a small nuclear RNA of Jaculus jaculus (lesser Egyptian jerboa), 102 nucleotides long. The record is from RefSeq and is a predicted model, not a curated record. Lineage: Eukaryota; Metazoa; Chordata; Mammalia; Rodentia; Dipodidae.
UUGAAAAACAAACCAAACCAAACAAAAAAUUGGAAUGAUCUAGAGAUUAUCAUGGCCCCGCCCAAGGGUGACACACAAAUUCAUGAAGUGUUCCAUAUUUUU